Molecule: ribosomal RNA, 560 nt
Filed under: uncultured Enterococcus sp.
Lineage: Bacteria; Bacillati; Bacillota; Bacilli; Lactobacillales; Enterococcaceae
Description: bacterial LSU rRNA
Rfam family: Bacterial large subunit ribosomal RNA
Source: RNAcentral
GGAAGCGAGCGAACUCUCGUUAAGGAACUCGGCAAAAUGACCCCGUAACUUCGGGAGAAGGGGUGCUUAUAGCAAUAUAAGCCGCAGUGAAUAGGCCCAAGCGACUGUUUACCAAAAACACAGGUCUCUGCCAAACCGAAAGGUGAAGUAUAGGGGCUGACGCCUGCCCGGUGCUGGAAGGUUAAGAGGAGUGCUUAGCGCAAGCGAAGGUACGAAUUGAAGCCCCAGUAAACGGCGGCCGUAACAAUAACGGUCCUAAGGUAGCGAAAUUCCUUGUCAGGUAAGUUCUGACCCGCACGAAAGGCGUAACGAUUUGGGCACUGUCUCAACGAGAGGCUCGGUGAAAUCAUAGUACCUGUGAAGAUGCAGGUUACCCGCGACAGGACGGAAAGACCCCGUGGAGCUUUACUGUAAUUUGAUAUUGAAUCUUGACUCCACCUGUACAGGAUAGGUGGGAGCCAAUGAAGCAUGGACGUCAGUCUAUGUGGAGGCAAUGGUGGGAUACCACCCUGGUAUGGUUGAGAUUCUAACCCGCAGCCGUGGUCCGGCUGGGAGACAGU